UGAGUGGCGGACGGGUGAGUAACGCGUGGGCAACCUGGCCUGUACAGGGGGAUAACACUUAGAAAUAGGUGCUAAUACCGCAUAACGGGAGAAGCCGCAUGGCUUUUCCCUGAAAACUCCGGUGGUACAGGAUGGGCCCGCGUCUGAUUAGCCAGUUGGCAGGGUAACGGCCUACCAAAGCGACGAUCAGUAGCCGGCCUGAGAGGGCGGACGGCCACACUGGGACUGAGACACGGCCCAGACUCCUACGGGAGGCAGCAG
Molecule: ribosomal RNA, 261 nt
Filed under: uncultured bacterium
Lineage: Bacteria
Description: partial 16S ribosomal RNA
Rfam family: Bacterial small subunit ribosomal RNA
Source: RNAcentral